AGCCAAUCACAGUCCACGACGCAGCACCGAUUGAAACGGGGAAACACAAAACACGGGGGCGAGACAAAACGGAACCAAACGCGCAAAGGCGCGCAGAGCGCACAGUAAAAGCAAACUAAACAACAUAACUGGGAUCGUAACAGUUUACCAGCCAGCACACUCUUUCUGGAAUCAAAAUUGAACGUGUGCGCUGAUGAUAUGAUUCACUGCUGGAUGUAGCUCUUGUUCUAAGGCUGUUAGCGUUGUUUGCUACAUGUGCUGAAGGAUGAAGACAUGGACAUGGUCUAAAGGCCGUUGAGGCAUUCCAUGGCUCGGUGCCACGUGUGCUGGAACCGUAACGGAGGCGACUGGGAGGGCUACCUCCAGCUCCACGAGGCCUCCAGGGAUAAAGUCUCGCCGGCCGUCCACGUAGUAAGACAGAAUGCCGUAAACCCGAAAGGAUGACAAAUGAGACAACAUAGGCAGGGAUUUAUGGAGUGUUAAAAAGCUCCCCAUCAGACUGUUUCCACACGCACCAAAUCAUCAUGCCGGAUGAAGAGAUGAAAAAUAGCAGGUUGCUCUCAAAGGAAAAAGAAAAGAAAAGCCAGACCAGAGUGGGUGACAGGAAGCUGCGUUCGCUCAGCUUUAGAAGCACAGCCUUCCACUCAUCCAUUUGCACCUAUUAUUGAUGUCAAAAGUGCUUCCACGGGUGCGUCUACAGUUACCUCAGCCAUAAAGGAGCAGCCACUGAAGGCAUGGAAAGUCCAGCCAAGGCAUCUUUUCAGCAGUCCAGAUGGAGAUGGG
RNAcentral lists this long non-coding RNA (783 nucleotides) under Takifugu rubripes (torafugu). Its description in RNAcentral is "lncRNA (ENSTRUG00000032885.1)". Lineage: Eukaryota; Metazoa; Chordata; Actinopteri; Tetraodontiformes; Tetraodontidae. The record is from RNAcentral.